This 492-nucleotide ribosomal RNA is filed under the name uncultured bacterium. RNAcentral's name for it is "partial 16S ribosomal RNA". It matches the Rfam family "Bacterial small subunit ribosomal RNA", at positions 29 to 507 of the family's 1533-position model. The record is from RNAcentral.
AGUGAACGCUGGCGGUAGGCCUAACACAUGCAAGUCGAACGGCAGCACAGCAAGAGCUUGCUCUUACGGGUGGCGAGUGGCGGACGGGUGAGGAAUACAUCGGAAUCUACUUUUUCGUGGGGGAUAACGUAGGGAAACUUACGCUAAUACCGCAUACGACCUACGGGUGAAAGCAGGGGAUCCUCGGACCUUGCGCGAUUGAAUGAGCCGAUGUCGGAUUAGCUAGUUGGCGGGGUAAAGGCCCACCAAGGCGACGAUCCGUAGCUGGUCUGAGAGGAUGAUCAGCCACACUGGAACUGAGACACGGUCCAGACUCCUACGGGAGGCAGCAGUGGGGAAUAUUGGACAAUGGGCGCAAGCCUGAUCCAGCCAUACCGCGUGGGUGAAGAAGGCCUUCGGGUUGUAAAGCCCUUUUGUUGGGAAAGAAAAGCAGCAGGUUAAUACCCCGCUGUUCUGACGGUACCCAAAGAAUAAGCACCGGCUAACUUCGUG